This 370-nucleotide ribosomal RNA is filed under the name uncultured bacterium. RNAcentral describes it as "bacterial SSU rRNA". It matches the Rfam family "Bacterial small subunit ribosomal RNA", at positions 527 to 896 of the family's 1533-position model. The record is from RNAcentral.
GUAGGGUGCGAGCGUUAAUCGGAAUUACUGGGCGUAAAGCGUUCGCAGGCGGGCUUUUAAGCCAGACGUGAAAUCCCCGGGCUUAACCUGGGAAUGGCGUUUGGGACUGGGAGUCUGGAGUGCGGCAGAGGGGACUGGAAUUCCUGGUGAAGCAGUGAAAUGCGUAGAGAUCAGGAGGAACACCGAUGGCGAAGGCAGGUCCCUGGGUUGACACUGACGCUCAUGCACGAAAGCGUGGGGAGCAAACAGGAUUAGAUACCCUGGUAGUCCACGCCCUAAACGAUGUCGACUGGUUGUUGGGGGUUUGACACUCUCAGUAACGAAGCUAACGCGUGAAGUCGACCGCCUGGGGAGUACGGCCGCAAGGUUA